This is a long non-coding RNA of Anguilla rostrata (American eel), 329 nucleotides long. RefSeq lists it as uncharacterized. Lineage: Eukaryota; Metazoa; Chordata; Actinopteri; Anguilliformes; Anguillidae. The record is from RefSeq and is a predicted model, not a curated record. The transcript is spliced from 2 exons.
GCAGGGCUGCUGGUGGCAGGGUCGGUACGCCGCCGGCUUCUCCGACGAGAAGCACUCGUUGCCGUGACGCCCGGUGAUCUUGUGCAUGCACUGGAUCACCCGCGACUGCAUCCCUUUGCCACAGGUGACUUGAAAUCUCAAGUUUGCAGGAGGUAGAGAACAGAAGGUUUUUUUGUCUGUGAACAGGUAAAAGAACAAUUUCUUUAUAAAAAUCUUCCCCAGACUCUCAAAAUCCAUUACAUUGCAUCAUUCCUUAAUUUGCACAAAUGUGGAUAAGGAGAUGGCAUGCCAAAAACAAGAAUUGGGUCAAGCAAAAAAAAGUUCAAAAA